GAUGAACGCUGGCGGCGUGCCUAAUACAUGCAAGUCGAGCGAACGGACGAGAAGCUUGCUUCUCUGAUGUUAGCGGCGGACGGGUGAGUAACACGUGGAUAACCUACCUAUAAGACUGGGAUAACUUCGGGAAACCGGAGCUAAUACCGGAUAAUAUUUUGAACCUCAUGGUUCAAAAGUGAAAGACGGUCUUGCUGUCACUUAUAGAUGGAUCCGCGCUGCAUUAGCUAGUUGGUAAGGUAACGGCUUACCAAGGCAACGAUGCAUAGCCGACCUGAGAGGGGGAUCGGCCACACUGGAACUGAGACACGGUCCAGACUCCUACGGGAGGCAGCAGUAGGGAAUCUUCCGCAAUGGGCGAAAGCAUGACGGAGCAACGCCGCGUGAGUGAUGAAGGUCUUCGGAUCGUAAAACUCUGUUAUUAGGGAAGAACAUAUGUGUAAGUAACUGUGCACAUCUUGACGGUACCUAAUCAGAAAGCCACGGCUAACUACGUG
This 497-nucleotide ribosomal RNA is filed under the name uncultured bacterium. RNAcentral's name for it is "partial 16S ribosomal RNA". It matches the Rfam family "Bacterial small subunit ribosomal RNA", at positions 28 to 507 of the family's 1533-position model. The record is from RNAcentral.